This 4140-nucleotide long non-coding RNA is filed under the name Androctonus crassicauda. The record is from RNAcentral. Lineage: Eukaryota; Metazoa; Arthropoda; Arachnida; Scorpiones; Buthidae.
UUUUAUCUUGCGAAAAUGCAGGAAUUUUCCGUGUUAUGAAAUUCGGACAUUAAACCGAAAUAAUGAGAUUUGAUUAUUGCCAAUCGAAUCAACUACACGCAGGACUCUAGAUAACAUAUUGACAUUGGUUCUGUUGAAGAGACUUUAGGUUAAUUGGGUCAAUGCUAAAGAAACAAAUUUUUUUGUGGUGUAUUGAUCUGCAUUAAAAUGCUCUGCAGGUUAGAAUGGCAACCUGGAUCACCACCAGUGAGCUUCCGAUUGGCUGUUGUGGCCUAAACUACCAGAGUUUUCCCAAUAAGGCUUCCGGGAAGUCGAGACUGUUGAUGACUUCCGUUAGUGAGUGCUAGGAUAGGGAGGGAAGGCAUCAUCCUGAGAUAACAGUUAUGGUACCCCUUCUUGUCAACGCUAAUUGCUUUCAUUAAGGCGUCUAUGUUAGAAAUUAGUCGACUUGUCGGUGAUUCUGAAUUUCAUAUUUUUCUGCAGAGAUUGAAUAUUCAAUAGAAUAAAAUAAAGAAUCGAAUUCAAAAAUAUUUUAUUAUUAUCUUUAACGACUUAUCUUUUUUUUCUUCUUGAUAAGAUUCUUUUAGGAUUUAUGGCAGCGAUAAAAAAAACACGUGCGUUAAUAUGCUAGAUGCAUGUGUAAUACAGAAAUCUCAUGGAUACGUUUCAAUUUGACAAUUAGUACAGUUUUAUUUGGAUAAUUAAAAACGAAUGCGUUAUCUCGAAUUUAAAAUAAGAAAAAAUAAGGCAAACUAUUAAAGUCUUAAGCGAUGUUGACCUACAUCUAGUAGGAGCUUCGACGUUUCUCGGCUACAACGUCUCUACAAUUUGCUUUAAUCUGUGUUACUCUGUCAACGUUUGCGAAUCAAUUUUGGUUCAGAUGUCAUUUCUAUUAGGAUUGUUUUGGAGUGUGCGAGGUUUUCUCUAUCAGAUUGCUGAAAACAUUCGAACUUUUACCAAAAUAUAUCCAACUGAUCGACUUAAAUAGUUUAAAAGGCAAAACGUGUACUCGAGCUUUUACAGUGAUUAAUAGAUUGAAGAUCUUAGCCGUUGCAAAGACACGUGUCAACUGAAUAGUUUCGUCAAGCUUUUCUCGCAAAUUUCUUCGGAGGAAAAAAAUGAUCCGAGUGGCUGCAUCAAGUAUUAAGCUGCAGAUUGAAGCUCCUGUAAAGGGUUCAUCUCCCGUAAGAAGCCGGACACGCUAUAGAAUAGUGAGUGACUUUGGGCCUUUAUUGGCCUCUGCUAAUAGAUGUGGAUGUUUGUCAGUAAAUGCGAGCGUGUUUGGAUCAUUAGUAACCCUGGCAGAACUGACAUCGUAUCAAAACAGACAAAAGUUGUCAUUAUACGAACAUUAAUGGGUGAGUCAGUACCGAAGUUUUUUUUAUCAUAUUCAAAAUUUUUUAUCGCGUAGAUUAACUUGCUUUUUUUGCUUCUCUUGCUAAUGAGUUUUUACACAUCAUUAGGCAAUUUCCUGCCUGCUUUUCUAACACUCCAGUUCAUCUCCGUGUGUCGGGACCUGCUCACGGAGUUUUUCCUCUCCUCUGUUUUCUUAUUAUUUCCUCAUUAUCAUCGGUUGAGCCCAGUUGGCUGAGUAAUUGCAGUCGAAGAAGCAAAUAGAAACUCAAUAGAUUCUUUUGUAUAUUCUCUUGUAUCCGAUGGUCUUUCGGCACGAGAAAUCAUGGUUGAGAUCCUCAGCUUAAACUACUACUUAAGAGUAAGCUUCCGUGAUCUGUAAUAACCUGGGGACUAGUUGUUUCUGAGUUUCAUUCUUUCUCUUCUUCUCCUACGAAUGAUGUUAUUUAAAAUAAUCCAAAGAAGAUUUUUCAGAAUCUUAUUUCGUUUCAAAAAUUCCUUCACAUAAAUUUUGGUCGAUAUUUUCUCAUCCAAAUUGUUGAAACGAAGUGAAGAGAAUCGACCCUUAUUGCCCGAGACUUACUAAAAUUUUCAAGUUUUUUUUUUCCUUACUGUUUGCCAGAGGUAGAAAUCCAAUUCCGAUCGGUGCGUUGCAGACAAUCAACGCCCAGAAAACCAUUAUGGAAGUUUCUCACGCAUUAUUCCAAAAGAAAACAAUCGGAAUGGCUUCCUACCAAUGUCUCUACCAUAACAAAAACCUGUCGACUAACUAAUGACAUCUUGUCACUGGAGACCAAGUCUACAACUGGCACGUCUGUUAGCUGCAUGACGGGAGUCAAUCACCAGACUAGACUAGUCGAUUUUUAGCCGAGUUGAUAGCACUAUGACCAAUUUGUCAUCAUCACCCUGGUGCUGGGUUAUUUUCUAGCUAAUGACGACUGCUCCCAUCCCAGCCAAUCAGAACACAGAUCUUUUAGCACGUCACGUUCUCCUCACCACGCACCUGAACAUUAACAUGCAAGCUGUCACUCCGCUCAAUGAUAAAGUACAUUGUUGUCUGGCACUUUAAUAGCAUCUUCGUGUGGUUCGUGCGUUUGCGAUCAAUGUGGCUGGGCAAAAGCCUCUAGGUCUGUAUGUAAUAUGUAUUCGAAUCCACUUCUGCCUUCUUACCUUUCUAAACGGAUAUAUGUAACAAACAAUCAUCAACAUGUGCACAGCGGUUGUUGAGGCUUGUCCAAUCUGACCAUCGAUUUCUAAUCAAUAGGUUGCACACACGGUCUAUCACCCGAAAACUUUCGACAAUAACUACCAUUACGGUUACGUCAUAACAUCAUUUGCCAAAUAUGGCAAUAAUUUAAUUACGCUUACAUCAAUUAUCCCUCUCGCCAACAUAAUAAAGUACUCAGGUAGAUGCGAUGAUGUCUGUUGGGUGUCCAGCUAUAUAGCCUUUUAAUUAAAUAGGUGCGCUAAUUGCCAUACCAUUUUGGACACGGUAAAAACACAAGGAGAUUGGUCCCAAAAACAUGGUUUUUUGUUCCAGACGUAGUUAAAUAUUAAUGCCAUGUAAGAUCGGUUUUAUCGCACCAGCAUCGUUUUAACUGGAAUCUAGAAUUGUAUAUAAAAUGUUCACAAAAAAGGGGGCGAUCGGUUGCUCCAUAGUACUUUGUGCUAAAUAUGGACCAGAUGGGAAUGGCAUGCGGCCAAGCACACCGCAGGGCAGUCGUCGUAACAUCAUCCAUCAUCAGAGGUCGGGACUGGAACCCGCAACCUGUGGCACCACCAGACAGACGGUCUGGACUUUGCCAUUUCUGUCACUCGAGUAUUACAAGUUUCUAGUUCGAUUUAAAGUAUAGAGGUAGCGUGCAAUCCGGCUCGGAUGGGAAUCAAAUGGAACACUGACAGGAAGGGCGAUUUGACAAAUAGUCCGUUGACAGUCGAGUCACGUGACUGACGGUGACGUUCCAGGGAAAGAUGAUGUCAACGUCCCACGUGACGAAUUUGUAUAGCGACCGAUAACGAUUAUCAACUUCUUUUCAAAUUUGUGAGUUAUUUGGAUGGAUAACAUGAUGCGUAUCUUUAAAAUUAAAUAAACGAUAGGUGGCGGUUAGGUGUUACAACUAUGGCGGAAAGCGGAGAAGGCAACGGUUUCGCGCCAAACAGUUCAAAGCGCGUGAAGGGUAUCCGGUUGAUAGACAUAACCGUAUUUUCCCAGAAGCCGACAUGCUUCCUGGCGCGGCAACUUAAGUGUCGACGACGGCAUCUAUUGAGAGGAGGAAGCCGCGAGUGAAGUUGCUGGAAUCGAUUUCAACAAACAUCUCCGAAAUCACGUGUCUCUUCAGUUACUAUAAGAAAACCAGGCCUACGGGCAACUUCAAAUUUAAUUUUAAUGGCGCUUUUUUCCUCCUCCUCCGCCUCUCUUUCCCUCUCACUCUUUUUCUGUGCAUUUUUAAAAAAAGUGAAAUAAAAUCGCACGGUGUCGUCGCUAACCGUCGCUCUCGCGUCUAUAAUCGCGCGCUCCGAACCGAAAUCACUUUUUCUCGACAAAAUUUGGUGGCGCGGGAAGUUCAUAAAAAAUUUAACACUCUGCCUCUUCCGUUUUUCUUUUUAAUAGUUCGAUUCGAAAAACUCUGAAACGAGCGAAAAAAGAAACGAACUUCGGGCCCAACCUUUACGUUCCUUAAAUUAUAGAAGAAAUGGAAAAAAAUCUAAACAAGUUUUUCGAUUGAAGAGCAGAUUGACCAUAGACAUCGCAAAUUUAAAAAAAUAAUAAUAAAAAAUUGAUGUAUC